UCCGAAAGGGGCUAGCGUUGUUCGGAAUUACUGGGCGUAAAGCGCACGUAGGCGGCCUUGUACGAUGGGGGUGAAAUCCCCGGGCUCAACCCGGGAACUGCCUUCAUGACUGCAAAGCUAGAGGAUGCGAGAGGUUAGCGGAAUUCCGAGUGUAGAGGUGAAAUUCGUAGAUAUUCGGAAGAACACCGGUGGCGAAGGCGGCUAACUGGCGCAUUUCUGACGCUGAGGUGCGAAAGCGUGGGGAGAAAACAGG
RNAcentral lists this ribosomal RNA (253 nucleotides) under uncultured bacterium. Its description in RNAcentral is "partial 16S ribosomal RNA". It matches the Rfam family "Bacterial small subunit ribosomal RNA", at positions 524 to 776 of the family's 1533-position model. The record is from RNAcentral.